AGCAUAUCAAUAAGCGGAGGAAAAGAAACCAACAGGGAUUGCCCUAGUAACGGCGAGUGAAGCGGCAACAGCUCAAAUUUGAAAUCUGGCCCUCGCGGUCCGAGUUGUAAUUUGUAGAGGAUGCUUUUGGUGCGGUGCCUUCCGAGUUCCCUGGAACGGGACGCCAUAGAGGGUGAGAGCCCCGUCUGGUUGGACACCAAUCCUCUGUAAAGCUCCUUCGACGAGUCGAGUAGUUUGGGAAUGCUGCUCUAAAUGGGAGGUAAAUGUCUUCUAAAGCUAAAUACCGGCCAGAGACCGAUAGCGCACAAGUAGAGUGAUCGAAAGAUGAAAAGCACUUUGAAAAGAGGGUUAAAUAGUACGUGAAAUUGUUGAAAGGGAAGCGUUUGUGACCAGACUUGGGCUUGGUUAAUCAUCCAGCGUUCUCGCUGGUGCACUUUGCCAGCCCAGGCCAGCAUCAGUUCGCCGCGGGGGAUAAAAGCUUCGGGAAUGUGGCUCUUCGGAGUGUUAUAGCCCGCUGCACAAUACCCUGUGGUGGACUGAGGUUCGCGCAUCUGCAAGGAUGC
RNAcentral lists this ribosomal RNA (563 nucleotides) under Nectria balsamea. RNAcentral's name for it is "eukaryotic LSU rRNA". It matches the Rfam family "Eukaryotic large subunit ribosomal RNA", at positions 37 to 626 of the family's 3401-position model. Lineage: Eukaryota; Fungi; Ascomycota; Sordariomycetes; Hypocreales; Nectriaceae. The record is from RNAcentral.